GGAGCAGUAGCUCAGCGGUAGAGCCCUGCUUCGUACGCGGGAAAACCUGGGUUCGAUUCCCGGCUGCUUAC
Molecule: transfer RNA, 71 nt
Filed under: Toxocara canis (dog roundworm)
Lineage: Eukaryota; Metazoa; Nematoda; Chromadorea; Rhabditida; Toxocaridae
Rfam family: tRNA
About the family: Transfer RNA (tRNA) molecules are approximately 80 nucleotides in length. Their secondary structure includes four short double-helical elements and three loops (D, anti-codon, and T loops).
Source: Rfam by way of RNAcentral